This 407-nucleotide ribosomal RNA is filed under the name bacterium enrichment culture clone ALO1_GLFRUDD03F0JQF. RNAcentral's name for it is "bacterial SSU rRNA". It matches the Rfam family "Bacterial small subunit ribosomal RNA", at positions 9 to 416 of the family's 1533-position model. The record is from RNAcentral.
GAGUUUGAUCGUGGCUCAGAUUGAACGCUGGCGGCAUGCCUUACACAUGCAAGUCGAGCGGAUGACGGGAGCUUGCUCCUUGAUUCAGCGGCGGACGGGUGAGUAAUGCCUAGGAAUCUGCCUGGUAGUGGGGGACAACGUUUCGAAAGGAACGCUAAUACCGCAUACGUCCUACGGGAGAAAGCAGGGGACCUUCGGGCCUUGCGCUAUCAGAUGAGCCUAGGUCGGAUUAGCUAGUUGGUGGGGUAAUGGCUCACCAAGGACGACGAUCCGUAGCAGGUCUGAGAGGAUGAUCUGCCACACUGGAACUGAGACACGGUCCAGACUCCUACGGGAGGCAGCAGUGGGGGAAUUUUGGACAAUGGGGGCAACCCUGAUCCAGCCAUGCCGCGUGAGUGAAGAAGGCC